This 389-nucleotide ribosomal RNA is filed under the name uncultured bacterium. Its description in RNAcentral is "bacterial SSU rRNA". It matches the Rfam family "Bacterial small subunit ribosomal RNA", at positions 28 to 417 of the family's 1533-position model. The record is from RNAcentral.
GAUGAACGCUAGCGGCAGGCCUAACACAUGCAAGUCGAGGGGCAGCACGUCUUCGGAUGGUGGCGACCGGCGCACGGGUGCGUAACGCGUAUGCAACCUACCUCUUACAGUGGGAUAGCCCAGAGAAAUUUGGAUUAAUACCGCAUAGUAUACAGAUUCAGCAUUGGGACUGUAUUAAACAUUUAUGGGUAAGAGAUGGGCAUGCGUUCUAUUAGUUAGUUGGAGUGGUAACGGCACCCCAGACAGCGAUAGAUAGGGCCCGUGAGAGGGGGAGUCCCCCACCACUGGUACUGAGACACGGACCAGACUCCUACGGGAGGCAGCAGUGAGGAAUAUUGGACAAUGGGCGAGAGCCUGAUCCAGCCAUGCCGCGUGCAGGAAGACGGCCC